Molecule: long non-coding RNA, 218 nt
Filed under: Capsicum annuum
Lineage: Eukaryota; Viridiplantae; Streptophyta; Magnoliopsida; Solanales; Solanaceae
Description: long non-coding RNA (CANN_LNC013724)
Source: RNAcentral
UGGGGAUCAUAUUCUUGUUGAAGUGUUUCUACACUAAAAAUAAAAAUCUGUCUCAUCCUAAAUCAGUAAUGAACAAAUAAACUUUGUUCAAAUUUCAUUCCCUCUUUUUUAUUUCUCUCCCAUUUCUCAAUUCUCACAUUUAACAAGAAAACCCAAUCAAGUACCAAUAAUGCAAGGUGAUAAAACACAUAUUUUCAUUGUCAAAUCAUUAUCAUGCC